UAGGGAAUCUUCCGCAAUGGACGCAAGUCUGACGGAGCAACGCCGCGUGAGUGAAGAAGGAUUUCGGUUCGUAAAACUCUGUUGUUAGAGAAGAACAGCGCAUAGAGUAACUGUUAUGCGUGUGACGGUAUCUAACCAGAAAGCCACGGCUAACUACGUGCCAGCAGCCGCGGUAAUAUGUAGGUGGCAAGCGUUGUCCGGAUUUAUUGGGCGUAAAGCGAGCGCAGGCGGUCAAUUAAGUCUGAUGUGAAAGCCCCCGGCUCAACCGGGGAGGGUCAUUGGAAACUGCUUGACUUGAGUGCAGAAGAGGAGAGUGGAAUUCCAUGUGUAGCGGUGAAAUGCGUAGAUAUAUGGAGGAACACCAGUGGCGAAGGCGACUCUCUGGUCUGUAACUGACGCUGAGGCUCGAAAGCGUGGGUAGCAAACAGG
RNAcentral lists this ribosomal RNA (429 nucleotides) under Bacteroidota bacterium. Its description in RNAcentral is "Bacteroidetes bacterium partial 16S ribosomal RNA". It matches the Rfam family "Bacterial small subunit ribosomal RNA", at positions 355 to 776 of the family's 1533-position model. The record is from RNAcentral. Lineage: Bacteria; Pseudomonadati; Bacteroidota.